UUUCCAGACUCCUACGGGAGGCAGCAGUAAGGGAUAUUGGUCAAUGGGGGAAACCCUGAACCAGCAACGCCGCGUGAGGGAAGACGGUUUUCGGAUUGUAAACCUCUGUCCUCUGUGAAGAUGAUGACGGUAGCAGAGGAGGAAGCUCCGGCUAAACACGUGCCAGCAGCCGCGGUAAUACGUAUGGAGCAAGCGUUAUCCGGAUUUACUGGGUGUAAAGGGAGCGCAGGCGGUCUGGCAAGUCUGAUGUGAAAUACCGGGGCUCAACUCCGGGACUGCAUUGGAAACUGUCAGACUGGAGUGUCGGAGAGGCAGGUGGAAUUCCUGGUGUAGCGGUGAAAUGCGUAGAUAUCAGGAGGAACACCGGUGGCGAAGGCGGCCUGCUGGACAGUAACUGACGUUGAGGCUCGAAAGCGUGGGGAGCAAACAGGAUUAGAUACCCCGGUA
Molecule: ribosomal RNA, 447 nt
Filed under: uncultured bacterium
Lineage: Bacteria
Description: bacterial SSU rRNA
Rfam family: Bacterial small subunit ribosomal RNA
Source: RNAcentral